This 1393-nucleotide unclassified non-coding RNA is filed under the name Hevea brasiliensis (rubber tree). The record is from RNAcentral. Lineage: Eukaryota; Viridiplantae; Streptophyta; Magnoliopsida; Malpighiales; Euphorbiaceae.
CAGAAAUACAAAGAGGGAAUUCGGGGGAAAAAAGAAAUAAUAGAGAGAAAAGAAAGAGAGUUGAAAAGACGCUAAUACCCUUCUUCUUCAUCAUCUUCUUCCUCUUCUUCUUGUUCUAGUCUCCCGUUUUGUUGUUGGUCCCCUGUGUGAGGAAGAAGAGGCGAGGGUUAAAGCUCAUAGUUUCAGAGAAAGGAAUUCAUCAGCCACGUAGAGUUUGUUCUUUGGUUUUUUAACCAUUUUUUUCUCUUUUUCGUUUGUUUUUUUGGGAGUUUUCUUAGGGAUUUUGUCUUCUUUCAUUCAUGGGGACUGAGAUCCUACGGCCUCAGGAUUGUUUGAUCGAAAGGAUCAGAGUUCCACCGGCAGCGAUUUGUCGCCGGAGGAGUUCUUAUGGAAACUAUGACUCGAAUGUUUACAACUAUAAUUCUAGAUCUAACAGGAAGUCGGUGGCUCGUUCGGAGCGGCCGGAGCAGCGGAAGCGGUUUGUUUCGAAUCACUCCGAGCCGUCGGUCUCAAAGAGAUCGAGUUCCGACGAUUUGAAAGCAAUGAAAAAUAGUUUGGUGAUGGAGAAGGUUACGAUCUUGAGGCGAGGUGAAUCGCUCGAUUCGAAGAUCAAGAGCGAAGCUCUGAAGAAGGAAGGUGAUAAUCUUGUCGUGUGUGGGACCGAUAGGUUGGGACCGGCGCCGGAAAUGGUUCCGAAACAGAUACGGAUUGUCGACGUUCGGUGUUCGAUAGCCGGAAAAGCCGAUGUUUACGCCGGGUCGGCGUUUUCGAUGUCGCCGUCCCCAAGUUCUCUUCCAUUACCGUCGUUCUCGAAGAAGAAACAUGUAUCCACCAUCGUUGACGACUCGGCUACCAGAGAUCUGAGGCGUUUGCUUCGGCUCGACGCAUGAGUUCUUCACCAGAUCUUGAAUUUGGAUCUGAAAUCCAUCAAAAAAACGAAACAAAAAUCAUCUCUCGUCCAUUUCUCAUCUCUCAUCUUUCUAACGUCUCUCUCGAUCUAUCCAGAUCUGAGCUGCCGUGAUUUUUUUAAACGGUGGUAGAUCGGAAAAUCGAGCCAACGAGACAGGUAAAUCAGAUUAAAACAAGAAGUAUAUCGUAUAAUAUCGUGUAUUUAUGAUGAUCCAGGUUUGUUUAACGGGGAAGAAAUUCUGUGUAUUGUAAGUUUUUAGCUAAAUAUCUAGGCCGGAAGAACAGUAAUUUGGGUGGGUAUGGGUUUGAUUUCUGCAAAUAUUGGGAGAAAAAUUAGUUUGCGCUUUGAAUGAUUAAAUUUCUGCUCUGUUGUGAAUUUCUUUCGAGUCAAGGGCUUUGUUAGUUUUUUCUUUUUCAUACUUUCUGUAUGAUAUUAUGAAAGCUUAAUAUAAUAAGAAAACAAAUCUGAUGAAGAUUUUGUAGA